RNAcentral lists this long non-coding RNA (238 nucleotides) under Selaginella moellendorffii. RNAcentral's name for it is "long non-coding RNA (SMOE_LNC001533)". The record is from RNAcentral. Lineage: Eukaryota; Viridiplantae; Streptophyta; Lycopodiopsida; Selaginellales; Selaginellaceae.
AAUAUUUUAAUUUUUUUUAUAAAGGCCAUGAUAAACAAAAAAUAAUUUUAGAUUCUUGCUUCCUUCCUUGAUGCUUCCUUGAUUCUGCCACACUUUCCAUACAUGUUGACGAUAGAGGUUCCAGCGACAACAUUACGCUCCCAGCCACACGAGCAAGUACUCUCGUGAUCUUUAUACCCUGUGCUUUAUCCUGCUUCCAAGAACACGCUGCCAGGAUCUCAGUCAGCGUCACCAUAUC